GGCCCAGGCGUAGCAAUCGCACCAUGGCAUUCCUUUCAGUCCCUGCACCUCCUCCGCUUUGGCCUCCGGGCACAGAAGCUGCCUCCGCUCCUGCCUCUCCUGUGUGGCUGCGCCUCCCAUUCCUCUCGUCCCUACACGGCUGUGCCUCCUCCGCUCCUCGCCUCUCUCCUCUCCGGGGCGUAGCAGGCGCCAGCCGCUUCCUCCCCAAAUCCCAAACCCUAAAUAAAUCCCCUCAUCUGAGCAAUCCGCACCAGUGCACCAGAAUCCAUCUGCUGAAUCCAACCAUCACCGUCAUUCCUGGGGCUGGAGGGGUGAGGCGGUCCUCUAGAUGGGAAGGCGGCCAACGCUUCUAAUUCCAUAGUGGACUCGACUCGGUCGGUGGCGCAGUGCUAGAUCUACGGCUCUGCUGGUGGCGGGCCGCCAUUCCCAACCCUCCAUUGGAUUAGGUACUUCCUCCGCAAGCUAAAGAAGGUGAAGAAGAGCAACCGCCAGAUCCUUGACAUUUGCCAUCAACGAGAUUUAGGAUGGCUACUACUACUACAACUGCGAGUGUAUGUGCAAGCAUUGGAGCGUCUCCUGCUACUGCUGCUACAACUGUUGGCACGGGUCAAUCAGUGCCAAAGCCACCACAACUAGAUGAUAGUGCUUUGGUGGUGAAGGAGACAACCACAAUCACUGAAGGAGGUGCAGAACCUAUUGUUAUUGUUGAUGAAGAAAUUGCUAAUGAUGGGACUUGCAUUGCAGAAGUAGAGUCUGCUACAAAGAAAUAGAAAAAGAGUUCCUCUAAGGUUUGGGACUACUUCACCAAGUCCACAAAGACACAUGAGAGAGAUGAUGGUGUGAUAGAGAAUCAAAUUUGGGCGAAGUGCAAUAAGUGUAUUUUCAAAACUCGCAUGAAUCCACUAAGGACACGGUGUCCCUUUGGAAUCAUUUGCAAUCGAAGCACUUCAUAAAGCAAGGACAUCAACUACUUCAAACGGGUGAAGGAGAACGAGAUGACCGAGGACUAUGAGGAGGACGAGAGCGACUAAAUUUUAUUAAGAUGAAGAACAGGUCUGCUUUCUCCUCUGUCUGACAAUUUUGAUUAGAUUUCAAUAUUUAAAUCUUGGCACUUUCUAUGGUUGUCAUGAAUCUUUGAUCUUGUGCACGGGAUUGUUAAAAAAAUGUGUCCUCAUUGGUAAUGGAUUUCAGCAACCUGGCGGUGAUGGAAUAUUGAAAUGAGUGUAUGUUUUGAUUUUAGUUAGCUCUGAUGGGGUUGUCUGGUUGUGUCAAACUGUCAACUACAAGUCUGCAACUCUGCAAGUGCGAGUGCUUUCUAUUUACUGAUAUCACUGUAUGGCAUGGGGUUGAU
This is a long non-coding RNA of Phragmites australis (common reed), 1351 nucleotides long. RefSeq lists it as uncharacterized. The transcript has 4 exons. The record is from RefSeq and is a predicted model, not a curated record. NCBI's taxonomy places the organism in Eukaryota, Viridiplantae, Streptophyta, Magnoliopsida, Poales, Poaceae.